CGCAUCUGUGCAUGCAGCAUAUCAAUAAGCGGAGGAAAAGAAACUAACAAGGAUUCCCUUAGUAACGGCGAGUGAAGCGGGAAGAGCUCAAAUUUGAAAUCUUCAAGGUUUUACCUUGACGAAUUGUAGCUUAAAGAAGUGUUUUCUGUUGAAGUUUUGGUAAAAGUUCUUUGGAAUAGGACAUCAUAGAGGGUGAGAAUCCCGUAUUUGACCAUUAUUUUCAGCUGUGUGAUACACUUUCAAAGAGUCGGAUUGUUUGGGAAUGCAGUCCAAAAUGGGUGGUAAAUUUCAUCUAAAGCUAAAUAUUGGCGAGAGACCGAUAGCGAACAAGUACCGUGAGGGAAAGAUGAAAAGAACUUUGAAAAGAGAGUUAAACAGUACGUGAAAUUGUCAAAAGGGAAGCGGUUGACACCAGUGUUGUUUUCUCGAAAAUCAAUUAAAAAGAGUUAGAUUUUGUUGUGUAUUGACCUCAACAGCUUGCAUUUCAAUUUUCUUGCUUUUUUUAAUGCACUUUUCGUUUAACAAGUCAACAUCAGUUUCUUUUGUUGUAAAAAGGUCAUUGGAAGGUGGCUUUCUUUUCGGAGAAAGUGUUUAUAGCCUUUGACUCCUGCAAUCGGAGAGACUGAGGUCUGCAGCGUAGAUCCUUCGGGGUUAGAUACAUUUGUGCUAAGUUAUAGCUUUUUAUAGACAACUUGUUGACUAUGAUUAGUCUUGCAGCUUACUCGCUUAUGCUAUUUUACCUACGCUUAGGAUGUUGACACACGCGCGUGCUCG
RNAcentral lists this ribosomal RNA (774 nucleotides) under uncultured Neocallimastigales. Its description in RNAcentral is "partial large subunit ribosomal RNA". It matches the Rfam family "Eukaryotic large subunit ribosomal RNA", at positions 26 to 605 of the family's 3401-position model. The record is from RNAcentral. Lineage: Eukaryota; Fungi; Neocallimastigomycota; Neocallimastigomycetes; Neocallimastigales.